This 414-nucleotide ribosomal RNA is filed under the name uncultured marine eukaryote. RNAcentral describes it as "SSU rRNA". It matches the Rfam family "Eukaryotic small subunit ribosomal RNA", at positions 614 to 1031 of the family's 1831-position model. The record is from RNAcentral.
UGCGGUUAAAAAGCUCGUAGUUGGAUUUCUGUUGAAGACGGCCGGUCCGCUCUAUGAGACGUGUAUCUGGUUCGGCUUUGGCAUCCUCGUGGGGAACGCUACUGUGCUUGAUUGCAUGGUGCGGAAUUCACGACUUUUACUUUGAGGAAAUUAGAGUGUUCACGGCAGGCAAGCGCCUUGAAAACAUUAGCAUGGAAUAAUAAUAUAGGACUUUGGUUCUAUUUUGUUGGUUUCCAGAACUAGAGUAAUGAUUAAUAGGGAUAAUUGGGGGCAUUUGUAUUAACGCGUCAGAGGUGGAAUUCUUGGAUUGCGUUACGACAAACUACUGCGAAAGCAUUUGCCAAGGAUGUUUUCAUUGAUCAAGAACGAAAGUAUGGGGAUCGAAGAUGAUUAGAUACCGUCGUAGUCUAUACC